This 66-nucleotide transfer RNA is filed under the name Pseudomyrmex particeps. Its description in RNAcentral is "tRNA-Phe". The record is from RNAcentral. Lineage: Eukaryota; Metazoa; Arthropoda; Insecta; Hymenoptera; Formicidae.
AUUUAAAUAGCUUAUUAAAAGUGUAGUAUUGAAGAUACUAAGAAAAUAUAAUAUUAUUUUUAAAUA